Molecule: long non-coding RNA, 574 nt
Filed under: Homo sapiens (human)
Lineage: Eukaryota; Metazoa; Chordata; Mammalia; Primates; Hominidae
Description: non-protein coding lnc-HPGDS-3:1
Source: RNAcentral
GACCCCAAGAAACCAAAGGGCAAGAUCUCUGCUUAUGCCUUCUUUGGGCAGACGUGCAGAGAAGAACAUAAGAAGAAAAACCCAGAAGUCCCUGUCAAUUUUGCAGAAUUUUCCACGAAGUGCUCUGAGAGGUGGAAGACAAUGUCUGGGAAAGAAAAGUCUAAAUUUGAUGAAACGGCCAAGGUGGAUAAAGAACGCUAUGAUCGGAAAAUGAAGGAUUAUGGACCAGCUAAAAGAGGCAAGAAGGAGAAGGAUCCUAAUGCCCCCAAAGGCCACCAUCUGGGUUCUUCCUAUUCUGUUCAGAAUUCCGCCCCAAGAUCAAAUCCACAAACCUUGGCAUCUCUAUUGGAGAUGUGGCAAAAAAGCUGGGUGAGAUGUAGAAUAACUUAAAUGACAGUGAAAAGCAGCCUUACAUCACUAAGGCGGCAAAACUGAAGGAGAAGUAUGUGAGAAGGAUGUUGCUGACUAUAAGUCUACAGGAAAGUUUGAUAGUGCAGAGUCCUGCUAAAGUUGCCUGGAAAGAAGUGGAAGAGGAAGAUGAAGAAACAAGGAGGAAGAAGAGGAGGAGGAGGAA